AGGGUUCGAUUCUGGCUCAGAACGUACGCUGGCGGCACGCCUAACACAUGCAAGUCGAACGCAGUAGCAAUACUGAGUGGCAAACGGGUGAGUAUAAUGUGGGAAUCUGCCUUUUGGUUUGGAAUAACACGGGGAAACUUGUGCUAAUACCGAAUAAGCCCUUACGGGGGAAGUUUUAAUGCCGAAAGAUGAGCCCGCACUUGAUUAGCUAGUUGGUAAGGUAAAAGCUUACCAAGGCAACGAUCAAUAGCUGUUCUUAGAGGAAGACCAGCCACAUUGGGACUGAGACACGGCCCAGACUCCUACGGGAGGCAGCAGUGGGGAAUCUUGCACAAUGGGGGAAACCCUGAUGCAGCGAUGCCGCGUGAGUGAAGAAGGCCUUUGGGUUGUAAAACUCUUUCGUCGGGGAAGAAAAUGACUGUACCCGAAUAAGAAGGUCCGGCUAACUUCGUGCCAGCCGCCGCGGUAAUUC
Molecule: ribosomal RNA, 472 nt
Filed under: uncultured bacterium
Lineage: Bacteria
Description: bacterial SSU rRNA
Rfam family: Bacterial small subunit ribosomal RNA
Source: RNAcentral